UUUUAUGGAGAGUUUGAUCCUGGCUCAGGAUGAACGCUGGCGGCGUGCCUAAUACAUGCAAGUCGAGCGAACGGACGAGAAGCUUGCUUCUCUGAUGUUAGCGGCGGACGGGUGAGUAACACGUGGAUAACCUACCUAUAAGACUGGGAUAACUUCGGGAAACCGGAGCUAAUACCGGAUAAUAUUUUGAACCGCAUGGUUCAAAAGUGAAAGACGGUCUUGCUGUCACUUAUAGAUGGAUCCGCGCUGCAUUAGCUAGUUGGUAAGGUAACGGCUUACCAAGGCAACGAUGCAUAGCCGACCUGAGAGGGUGAUCGGCCACACUGGAACUGAGACACGGUCCAGACUCCUACGGGAGGCAGCAGUAGGGAAUCUUCCGCAAUGGGCGAAAGCCUGACGGAGCAACGCCGCGUGAGUGAUGAAGGUCUUCGGAUCGUAAAACUCUGUUAUUAGGGAAGAACAUAUGUGUAAGUAACUGUGCACAUCUUGACGGUACCUAAUCAGAAAGCC
RNAcentral lists this ribosomal RNA (510 nucleotides) under Staphylococcus aureus subsp. aureus 301-188. Its description in RNAcentral is "bacterial SSU rRNA". It matches the Rfam family "Bacterial small subunit ribosomal RNA", at positions 1 to 492 of the family's 1533-position model. The record is from RNAcentral. RNAcentral also lists the same sequence under 1 other name. Lineage: Bacteria; Bacillati; Bacillota; Bacilli; Caryophanales; Staphylococcaceae.